CCUACGGGAGACAGCAGUGAGGAAUAUUGGUCAAUGGCCGAGAGGCUGAACCAGCCAAGUCGCGUGAGGGAAGACGGCCCUACGGGUUGUAAACCUCUUUUGUCGGGGAGCAAAGCGAACCACGUGUGGUUCAUUGAGAGUACCCGAAGAAAAAGCAUCGGCUAACUCCGUGCCAGCAGCCGCGGUAAUACGGAGGAUGCGAGCGUUAUCCGGAUUUAUUGGGUUUAAAGGGUGCGCAGGCGGAGGUGCAAGUCAGCGGUCAAAUUGCGGGGCUCAACCCCGUACUGCCGUUGAAACUGCAUCCCUUGAGUGCGCGAGAAGUAUGCGGAAUGCGUGGUGUAGCGGUGAAAUGCAUAGAUAUCACGCAGAACUCCGAUUGCGAAGGCAGCAUACCGGCGCUCAACUGACGCUGAGGCACGAAAGCGUGGGGAUCGAACAGGAUUAGAUACCCGUGUAGUC
RNAcentral lists this ribosomal RNA (459 nucleotides) under uncultured bacterium. Its description in RNAcentral is "partial 16S ribosomal RNA". It matches the Rfam family "Bacterial small subunit ribosomal RNA", at positions 338 to 795 of the family's 1533-position model. The record is from RNAcentral.